Molecule: small nuclear RNA, 160 nt
Organism: Gopherus agassizii (Agassiz's desert tortoise)
Lineage: Eukaryota; Metazoa; Chordata; Testudines; Testudinidae
Gene: U1
Rfam family: U1 spliceosomal RNA
About the family: U1 is a small nuclear RNA (snRNA) component of the spliceosome (involved in pre-mRNA splicing). Its 5' end forms complementary base pairs with the 5' splice junction, thus defining the 5' donor site of an intron.
Source: Ensembl
GUUCUCUUCAGGGGAGAUACCAUGAUCACGAAGGUAGUUUUCCCAGGGUGAGGCUCAUCCGUUGCACUGCGGGUGUGCUGACCCUUGCGAUUUCCCCAAAUGCUGGAAACUCGACUGCAUAAUUUGUGGUAGUGGGAGACUGUGUUCGUGCUCUCCCCUG